Molecule: ribosomal RNA, 403 nt
Filed under: uncultured bacterium
Lineage: Bacteria
Description: partial 16S ribosomal RNA
Rfam family: Bacterial small subunit ribosomal RNA
Source: RNAcentral
AUUGAACGCUGGCGGCAGGCCUAACACAUGCAAGUCGAGCGAGCGGCGGAAGGGUGAGUAAUGUCUGGGGACUGACCGAUAGGGGGGGAUAACUACUGGAAACGGUAGAUAAUACCGCAUACCGUCGGAUAGCGCAUAGGGGAUUGUCUAGUGGAUGAGGUAAUGGCUUACCUAGUCGACGAACCCUAGCUGGUCUGAGAGGAGUCUCAGCCACACUUGUACUGAGACAAGGCCCAGACUCCUACGGAGGCAGCAGUGGGGAAUAUUGCACAAUGGGCGCAAGCCUGAUGCAGCCAUGCCGCGUGUAUUAAGAAGUCCUUCGGGUUGUAAAGUACUUUCAGUCGGGAGGCGUUACCGGCAGAAGAAGCACCGGCUAACUCCGUGCCAGCAGCCGCGGUAAUAC